RNAcentral lists this ribosomal RNA (460 nucleotides) under uncultured bacterium. RNAcentral describes it as "partial 16S ribosomal RNA". It matches the Rfam family "Bacterial small subunit ribosomal RNA", at positions 338 to 795 of the family's 1533-position model. The record is from RNAcentral.
CCUACGGGAGGCAGCAGUGAGGAAUAUUGGUCAAUGGACGAGAGUCUGAACCAGCCAAGUAGCGUGAAGGAUGACUGCCCUAUGGGUUGUAAACUUCUUUUAUAUGGGAAUAAAACGUUCCACGUGUGGGAUUUUGUAUGUACCAUAUGAAUAAGGAUCGGCUAACUCCGUGCCAGCAGCCGCGGUAAUACGGAGGAUCAGAGCGUUAUCCGGAGUUAUUGGGUGUAAAGGGAGCGUAGGUGGAUUGUUAAGUCAGUUGUGAAAGUUUGGGGCUCAACCGUAAAAUUGCAGUUGAAACUGGCAGUCUUGAGUACAGUAGAGGUGGGCGGAAUUCGUGGUGUAGCGGUGAAAUGCUUAGAUAUCACGAAGAACUCCGAUUGCGAAGGCAGUUCACUGGACUGCAACUGACACUGAGGCUCGAAAGUGUGGGUAUCAAACAGGAUUAGAUACCCCGGUAGUC